GCUCACUAUUGCGUCACGUGACCCUGCAUUAUCUGGAACCUGCGUGGGACCCUGCACCCUGGCUCCGCCCAGCGCGAUCCUUCCGGAUCACCACCUCUCCGGGUGACCCUGUGCAGGCCACGCCUCGCAGCAGAGCACCGCCUCCCUGUGCUCCUGCCCCACCAGCAGCACAGUGGGAUCCUGCACGCCACGCUCAGGGGCGGGGCGGUUUUGUCAAACCUUUCCGGGGGGUGGUUCCAGGUUUUAAGAAACUGGAGAAUGCUUUCUCACCUGUCCAGAUUGAUGAAUAUGAUACUCUGUGAAUCAUCGAUCAGCACCCUGAGUUCCCGAGCUGCAUUGGAAAGAUCCUCAGCUAAUCGAGAAAAUGUUACGUUCUCUGGGAAAAACCACCCCGCAGAAGACAGAAGGCACAUGCCGGCAAAAUAAGUAGCACAAAGCACGACUACACACUCACAAGACUUGCGGGUCGCUCCACUUGCUGACACAGAGCUCCUCCAGCAACUCUUCUUCAUCCAAGAUCUCCAAAAUAGACUCUUUGAAAAUCUUGAUAUCCGUUUCUAACUCUGACAGACUAGAAGAGUAGGUGUAUAGAAGUGAUCAGUAACAACCUUCCACAUUUCACUCAAGAUGUGCAGUUUGCUUCUGUCCACAGAGGAAUGUUUGGGAUCCACCAAAGCUUCCAACGUCUCAAGGAUCAGUGGCUGCAAAACGCCAAGUUUCCCCUGAAGAGUGCUGAUCUAGAUAACGACAUGAUCUUUCAUAAGAAUUAAAACGAUCUUUUUAGAAUACUCAGAGUCAGUGAAUCUUCUGAUUAAACAGAGAAAUCUGUCCUAGCCGGGAACACGGCCAGUGCCCGAAUACGGACAUCAGAGGACUCAACAACCACGUGUGAUGUUGUCACGGGGCUUGCACUUGUCACAGGGAAUCAGCUCCCAUAAGGUCUUCCCCGAUAAACAGUAUGAAAGGAACGCAAGACUGACAGACUAAAAGGAAACCUGUGUUCUACGGUCACAACACAACUUCUAUAUUUGAAACUCGUGUUCUCUGUUAACAGAGUGCAGUUCAAAAUUCCUACGUAACAAAUUCUUCUGAAAACCAAAGCAUAACUUGGGACUUUAAAAUAAAUCAGUGUCAAGUCAAAA
This is a long non-coding RNA of Suricata suricatta (meerkat), 1142 nucleotides long. RefSeq lists it as uncharacterized. The record is from RefSeq and is a predicted model, not a curated record. NCBI's taxonomy places the organism in Eukaryota, Metazoa, Chordata, Mammalia, Carnivora, Herpestidae. The transcript has 4 exons.